Molecule: long non-coding RNA, 667 nt
Organism: Salvia splendens (bonfire salvia)
Lineage: Eukaryota; Viridiplantae; Streptophyta; Magnoliopsida; Lamiales; Lamiaceae
Exons: 2
Source: RefSeq, a predicted model, not a curated record
UCAACUGAGGUUGUAUUUUAGGGCAUUUUAGUUGCAUAGAAGGGUCAAUCAGUUAGUUCGUAUAUUACCCCCACUCUCUGAAAUAGAAGGCGCGUGAUUUCAAUGGUGAUUCAAUACACGAUCAUUCUUCUCGCAUUCAACUCAUCUCACACCUUUCAACUCUCAAACCCUCAAAAACACCUUCUCAAUUUGAAACCCUAGCCCAAUCUCGCCGCAUUCCACAUUUUUGGAGACCCGAAAUUUACUAUUUUUGCGAAUAGCAUGAAUCUCUACACCUACCGACCACCAAUUCGCUUAAUGGCUAAAAGACGGGCAAUUUCAAACACCCCAGGGCUGAUGUUGGAGAAAUUUCGUAAAUGCUACAUUCUAAACGGCGUAAUUUGGAGAAUAUGUUCGUGUAAACGGCGUAAUUUGGAGAAUAUGUUCGUGUAAACGGCGUACUGCUUACUUAUGAAAAUAUGCUGGAGCAUAUGUCGUGUAAACGGCGUACUAUUGGAGAAUAUGUUGGAGAAUAUGUCUAUUGUUUGUUUCAUAUGUUUGAGAAUUUGCUAAAUUUUGCAAUUUUAUUGCGAAAGUCUGUUUACUUUAUGUUAAACUAUGCUUAUUAUGUGUUAGCAGUUGCUUUUGUUUUGCAAAAAUUUGUUUAAUUUAAUCGAUAAUUCACUUA